UACGGGGGGAACGAGCGUUGUUCGGAUUUACUGGGCGUAAAGGGCACGCAGGCGGGAAAGCAAGUCAGCUGUGAAAUUUCUCAGCUUAACUGGGAAACUGCAUUUGAUACUGCUUUUCUUGAGUACGAGAGAGGAUGGCGGAAUUCUUGGUGUAGCGGUGAAAUGCGUAGAUAUCAAGAAGAACACCGGUGGCGAAGGCGGCCAUCUGGCUCGAUACUGACGCUCAUGUGCGAAGGUCGGGGGAGCAAAC
This 250-nucleotide ribosomal RNA is filed under the name uncultured bacterium. RNAcentral's name for it is "partial 16S ribosomal RNA". It matches the Rfam family "Bacterial small subunit ribosomal RNA", at positions 524 to 773 of the family's 1533-position model. The record is from RNAcentral.